This 329-nucleotide unclassified non-coding RNA is filed under the name soil metagenome. RNAcentral's name for it is "partial contains 5.8S ribosomal RNA, internal transcribed spacer 2, and large subunit ribosomal RNA". The stretch from base 1 to 120 matches the Rfam family "5.8S ribosomal RNA", at positions 35 to 154 of the family's 154-position model. The record is from RNAcentral.
GAUGAAGAACGCAGCGAAAUGCGAUACGUAAUGUGAAUUGCAGAAUUCAGUGAAUCAUCGAGUCUUUGGACGCACAUUGCGCCCCCUGGUAUUCCGGGGGGCAUGCCUGUCCGAGCGUCAUUACAACCCUCAAGCUCAGCUUGGUGUUGGGCCCCGCCGCCCCGGCGGGCCCUAAAGUCAGUGGCGGUGCCGUCCGGCUCCGAGCGUAGUAAUUCUUCUCGCUCUGGAGGUCCGGUCGUGUGCUCGCCAGCAACCCCCAAUUUUUUUCAGGUUGACCUCGGAUCAGGUAGGGAUACCCGCUGAACUUAAGCAUAUCAAUAAGCGGAGGA